This 268-nucleotide ribosomal RNA is filed under the name uncultured bacterium. Its description in RNAcentral is "partial 16S ribosomal RNA". It matches the Rfam family "Bacterial small subunit ribosomal RNA", at positions 85 to 354 of the family's 1533-position model. The record is from RNAcentral.
CCGAUGGCGACCGGCGCACGGGUGAGUAACACGUAUCCAACCUGCCGAUAACUCGGGGAUAGCCUUUCGAAAGAAAGAUUAAUACCCGAUGGCAUAGUUCUUCCGCAUGGUAGAACUAUUAAAGAAUUUCGGUCAUCGAUGGGGAUGCGUUCCAUUAGCUUGUUGGCGGGGUAACGGCCCACCAAGGCAUCGAUGGAUAGGGGUUCUGAGAGGAAGGUCCCCCACAUUGGAACUGAGACACGGUCCAAACUCCUACGGAAGGCAGCAG